This is a non-coding RNA of Pteropus alecto (black flying fox), 114 nucleotides long. NCBI's taxonomy places the organism in Eukaryota, Metazoa, Chordata, Mammalia, Chiroptera, Pteropodidae. The record is from Rfam.
GUCUACGGCUACCCUGAACAAGCCCGAUCCCGUCUGAUCUCGGAAGCUAAGCGGGGAUGGGCCUGGUUAGUACUUGGAUGGGAGACCACCUAGGAAGAUCAGGUGCUGUAGGUA